GGAACGAGUGGCGGACGGGUGAGUAACACGUGGGUAACCUGCCCUUAAGUGGGGGAUAACAUUUGGAAACAAUGCUAAUACCGCAUAGAUCCAAGAACCGAAUGGUUCUUGGCUGAAAGAUGGCGUAAGCUAUCGGCUUUUGGAUGGACCCGCGGCGUAUUAGCUAGUUGGUGAGGUAAUGGCUCACCAAGGCGAUGAUACGUAGCCGAACUGAGAGGUUGAUCGGCCACAUUGGGACUGAGACACGGCCCAAACUCCUACGGGAGGCAGCAGUAGGGAAUCUUCCACAAUGGACGCAAGUCUGAUGGAGCAACGCCGCGUGAGUGAAGAAGGCUUUCGGGUCGUAAAACUCUGUUGUUGGAGAAGAAUGGUCGGCAGAGUAACUGUUGUCGGCGUGACGGUAUCCAACCAGAAAGCCACGGCUAACUACGUGCCAGCAGCCGCGGUAAUACGUAGGUGGCAAGCGUUAUCCGGAUUUAUUGGGCGUAAAGCGAGCGCAGGCGGUUUUUUAAGUCUGAUGUCAAAGCCCUCA
Molecule: ribosomal RNA, 532 nt
Filed under: Lacticaseibacillus paracasei
Lineage: Bacteria; Bacillati; Bacillota; Bacilli; Lactobacillales; Lactobacillaceae
Description: bacterial SSU rRNA
Rfam family: Bacterial small subunit ribosomal RNA
Source: RNAcentral